Trematomus bernacchii (emerald rockcod) is the source of this 354-nucleotide long non-coding RNA. RefSeq lists it as uncharacterized. The transcript has 5 exons. NCBI's taxonomy places the organism in Eukaryota, Metazoa, Chordata, Actinopteri, Perciformes, Nototheniidae. The record is from RefSeq and is a predicted model, not a curated record.
UUAGCAGCGCUCUUAAUAGUCAUUGUGGCGGUCAUCAGAUGGAAGAAAACUAAAGGGGACCGACCACGUGUGGAUGACAGGAUCGAACAGGGCCAUAACCCCGCAGUGACUCAGCCAGGUCCAGAAAACACGGCGGAUCGUGAAGAGGAUGUUUCCUACGCCUCCGUCAGCUACAGCAAGAACACCAGCAGCAAGAACACCAGCAGCAAAGCCCAGGGUCAGAGUAAGGAAGAUGAUGAAGAAGAUGAUUUAGUGACCUACAGCACGGUGAAAGCUCCUUCUUCUUCUUCUGCUGAGCCCUCCGCUGAUCCCAGUAGCCUCUACGCUACCGUCAACAAACCAACAAAAGAAGCG